UGGGGAAUAUUGGACAAUGGGCGGAAGCCUGAUCCAGCCAUGCCGCGUGUGUGAAGAAGGCCUUUUGGUUGUAAAGCACUUUAAGCGAGGAGGAGGCUACUUGGAUUAAUACUCUAGGAUAGUGGACGUUACUCGCAGAAUAAGCACCGGCUAACUCUGUGCCAGCAGCCGCGGUAAUACAGAGGGUGCGAGCGUUAAUCGGAUUUACUGGGCGUAAAGCGUGCGUAGGCGGCUUCUUAAGUCGGAUGUGAAAUCCCUGAGCUUAACUUAGGAAUUGCAUUCGAUACUGGGAAGCUAGAGUAUGGGAGAGGAUGGUAGAAUUCCAGGUGUAGCGGUGAAAUGCGUAGAGAUCUGGAGGAAUACCGAUGGCGAAGGCAGCCAUCUGGCCUAAUACUGACGCUGAGGUACGAAGGCAUGGGGAGCAAACAGG
Molecule: ribosomal RNA, 430 nt
Filed under: Bacillota bacterium
Lineage: Bacteria; Bacillati; Bacillota
Description: Firmicutes bacterium partial 16S ribosomal RNA
Rfam family: Bacterial small subunit ribosomal RNA
Source: RNAcentral